CAUGUAUUGCUUUACUGGGUGGAGUUAGUGUAUUGUCGACAGUUGGAUCUUCUCCCAGACAGAUUUUGGUCUGGGAAUUUCAAUUUUUGGUUCACCAGAGCACAUUUUUACGAGACCACGUUGUAAAAGCUUUUCUUAUUUCAUCUGAACUGCAUCAGUGUGACUGUGGACCAUGACGACAGAGGUAGGAUCUGAAACGGAGGUGAAAAAAGAGCCGGAGAAGGCGGAGGAGCAGCCUGCAGAACCUGAACCACCAGCCACCAACCAGACAGACGAGGUCAAGGCCGUUGAGGCCGCCGAGCAGUCCAACGAAAGCCCCGCUCUGGCCACAGACUCAGCAGAGGCAAAGGAGAACCAGGAGGAGGCCCAGCCUACCGACAACGCCACAGGACCAGCGGGAGAGGACCCCUCAGUCUCACCACCAGCUUCAGAGAAGAAGGGCAUCUCCAGGUUCCUCCCUCCAUGGCUUAAGAGGCAAAAGUCUCAGAGCGCGGUGGGACCCAAAGAGAGCCAGGCGACGCCCAAGGAAGAGGGAGAUGUGGUCCUGGUGAAGGAGGAGGGUGAGAAGGCGGAGCAUGCCAAAGCAGAGCAGACAUCAUCGACCACAGCAGCUGUGCCACAGGUUGAAGAAGAGCAAGUGAACGGCGAGGCGGAGCAAGAACAGAAAGAGGAAGUGAAUUCAGAGGAACAAGAGGAGACUCAUUCCACUGGCAGUGCAGAAACUCGGCCUGCUAAGGAGGAGAAAGCAUCAGAGAAAUCUCAGAAGAAGAGUGCAGCGGAGGAGGAGAAAAAAGAGACAGAGGAAGGAGGAGAGAAGAAAGACCAGGAAGAGAGCUUGAAGCCCGAGGAAGGACGUUAUUUUAUCAAGUCGCCACUGAAACUGACCAAGAAGGUGAAGCUGGUGAUAUGUCAUGUGACCAUGCUGGAUGGAAGCCAGUUCCCCUGCGAGGUGGAGAAACGGGCCAAAGGCCAGUACUUGUUUUUCAAAGUGUGUGAAGCCCUGAACCUACUGGAGAAGGACUACUUUGGGUUGAGUUACAAAGACAACGCUGACCAGACGUGCUGGCUGGACCCUACAAAGGAGAUCAAACGUCAGAUCUGCAAUACCUCCUGGCAGUUAGCGUUCAAUGUCAAGUUCUACCCUCCUGAUCCAUCCCAGCUGACCGAGGAUAUUACCAGAUAUCUCCUGUGCCUUCAGCUCCGGCAGGACAUAGCUUCGGGGCGUCUGCCCUGCUCCUUCGUCACCCACUCUCUGCUGGGUUCCUACUCCCUGCAGGCCGAGCUGGGAGACCACGACCCCGAUGAGCAACGCCUCGACUACAUCAGCGACUUCCAGUUUGCCCCCUCACAGACUAAGGAGAUGGAGGAGAAGGUGGUGGAGCUCCACAAAACUCACAGGGGGAUGACUCCUGCUCAAGCAGAUACCCAGUUCUUAGAAAAUGCCAAGAAGUUGUCGAUGUACGGUGUCGAUCUCCACCAUGCCAAGGACUCUGAGGGAGUGGACAUCAUGUUGGGAGUGUGUGCCAAUGGCCUGCUGAUCUACAAAGACCGACUCCGGAUAAACCGCUUUGCCUGGCCAAAAAUCCUCAAGAUCUCCUACAAACGUAGCAACUUCUAUAUCAAAAUCAGGCCGGGAGAGACGGAGCAGUUUGAGAGCACCGUGGGCUUCAAGCUGCCCAACCACCGCUCUGCCAAGAGGGUCUGGAAGGUCUGCGUGGAGAAUCACACCUUCUUCAGGUUGAUGACUCCAGAAGCGCCCGCUAAAGCCAAGUUCCUCACACUGGGCUCCAAGUUCCGCUACAGUGGGCGGACCCAGGCCCAAACACGACAGGCCAGCACCCUCAUCGACAGGCCGGCACCCUACUUUGAGCGCACCUCCAGCAAGCGCAUCUCACGAAGCCUGGAUGGAGCUCCAGUGAUCAACGUGAUCGAGGCCCAGGACUCGGCCCCCACCCCUGUGGGGAACGGCAGGGAGCCUGGCUUGGAACUCUCCUCUGACUCCUCCAAGGUAGAGGAGGAGCCUAGCGAAGGGGCGGCGGCCACACCUACUGAAGGCACUGAGAUGAAAAGAGAUGAGCCAGACUCCUCCCAGCAGAGCGGAAAGUUGAGAGUGCAGGGGGAAAAUAUAUAUGUCAGACAUAGCAAUUUAAUGUUGGAGGACCUGGAUAAGACUCAGGAGGAUGUUUUGAAACAUCAGGCUAGCACUAGCGAGUUAAAGCGCAGUUUUAUGGAGGCCACCCCUGAGACGCGUCCCAGUCAAUGGGAAAAGCGCCUCACUGCCAGCCCGGCUACCAGCCUGCGUCUGCAGGCCCAAGGGAGCUUAGAGGAAAUUACCUCCAUUUUAUUCAGUAAAUUUGCCUGCGAGUCUGGUCUGGUAGACCCUGGCUGUAGCACCAUUAAGAGAGCAGCAGAGGGCGCUGGCGCUGUAUUCUCUGGCCCAAUGGCCUCAGCUUCACUCACUGCCCAGAGGAGCCCCCCACCCACAACCCAGGAGCCUCUCCCUGACCUCACAGUGGACACGGUCUCUAAGAGUUCAGAUGACAAAGAGAAAUCAGACAAGACAACGUUGCAGGCAGCAGAGGUUGAGAUAGAAGAGACAGUAGUCGUCGAGGAGAUCAGGGUGGCACCCAAAGUCUCCGUCACCAUCACCCCCGAGGUGGUGGUCACCCCUGUCGCCGUGGAGACAGAGGUCGAGAAGCCCAAAGAGGAAGUGAUGGAGGAAGUGAUGGAGGAAGUGAUGGAGGAAGUGAUGGAGGAAGUGAAGGAGGAAGUGAAGGAAGAAGUUAAUGAGGAGCAGAAGAGGCCUGUGAGCGUGUCCUCGGACAGCCACAGUGAGAGCGAGGAGGAGGCAGGGGAGUACCACUCCCAGGUCACUAUCAGCGCCUCAGUGGACCAGAUCAAAGAAGAGCCUGAGGAAGAGGAGGAGGAGGAGGAAGUGGAAGACCAUGAAGAACCAGAGCAAGUCGCAGAGCCCGAACCACUCCCAGAGGUUAAGGUAGAGGCCAUGCCUUCCCCUGCAGUAGUGGAAGAAACCCCUAUGGCAGAGCCAGAGACGGCCCUUGUGGCCGAUGCCCUCGCCAAGGAGGAGAGCACCGAGGACAUCCUGGUUACCCCCGACGAGGCCCCUAACGGGCAUGCUGAGGACCAGUCUGGCCUGGUGGCUGUGGAAGAAGAAGAAGAAGAAGAAGAGGAGGAGCCCAGAGUCAACGGGGACGCGUCUCACGCUGAGACGGAGCGCAUUCCUCAGGUUAUUUGUUGCUCUGAGCCACCUGUGGUGAAGACCGAGAUGGUGACCAUCUCAGACACGUUUGCAGCCCAGAAGACUGAGAUUGCCACUAAGGAGGUUCCCAUCGUGCACACAGAGACAAAGACCAUCACUUACGAGGCUGCACAGCUGGACGGCAGUGGAGACGGUGAACCAGGCAUUCUCAUGACUGCCCAAACCAUUACCUCUGAGUCGCUGUGCACCACCACCACCACACACAUCACCAAGACAUUAAAAGGCGGUCUCUCAGAAACCAGGAUCGAGAAGCGCAUUGUCAUCACCGGAGACUCAGACAUCGACCACGAUCAGGCCUUGGCCCAGGCUAUAAAGGAAGCCAAAGAGCAGCACCCUGACAUGUCAGUGACCCGGGUGGUGGUCCACAAAGAGACAGAGCUGGCCGAGGAGGGCGAGGACUGAGGCGCCAGUCUCCCUCCUCUCUACCUACCUGGCAUGACGUGAGAGAUACCUCUCUCAUCAAAAGACUUUGAAGCAGGCGAUGGAGUACUAGCUGGUUUGGGUUUGCCCCAAGGAGAUGGUGGCUUUAAAUCCCAGUAGAGCCUAAAGAGCCUGUGAAGUUCAUACAUGGAUGUUUGAGAAACUCCUGUCAUCUCCCAAACCGAGAGUCAACCUGGUGAGAAGACAAGGUGAAGACAACCCAGAGGCUGAACUCCUAUGUGUCUGUGCGUUUCAUCGCACGCCUUCCUUUUUUUAUCACUCAGAAGAGAACCACUUAGCUAACAUUUGUAGUGCGUUUUUAUUCUUAUGUGCUUUUUGCUAAAAGAAGAAAAAAUGGCUAUCAUUAUUAAAACCAGAUAGGAUUUAUCAAGUGGUAAUUUUUAUUGUUGAGUAGUAUUCACAUUCCUAGUAUGUACAGACAGCUGGUGUUAUGAGAAAGUACAUUUCAAUAUAUAGCUUCCUGGAUUCAUGCAUCUUUAUGUGGACAGGAAGUAAGACUAGGUGGAUAUAUUAGCUUUGGACCUAGUCUUGUUCCAUGUUGUCUUAGAGCCAGAUGUUUAUCAGUUUUUUUUUGGGGGGGGGGGGGGGGAGAAGAGCAAAUUAAUUUAAUUGGGUGAGUUUCCAAGGGACCAGCAAAGGGUGAAGCACUGUGUCAUUUUGUACAUUGCAAUAUAGUGCCAACACAUGUUCUUCUCUAUGCAGUCAAAACUGAAGCAUUCCAUUAAAGUGCAGGUGCUUUUCCAAUACCUCCCUCAGAAGAAAAAAAAAAAUGUAAAAAAUAAAAAGCUUGGAAACUUUUUGUUUUCUGUGACUUUCUGGCAUCAUUAAUCAUAGACAUAUUUGUAGAAUUCUUUUUUGUCUUUUAAACUUUUUUUGUAUUUAUCUGUAAACUGAUUUACUGUAGAUGUUGAUGAGGUGUGUUUGCCCCUUUUUAAAUAUUUUUAAUAUAUUUCAGAGGUUUUUUGACAGCUAAAAGAAACACAAUUGCCACCAUUUUAAUAUUUUACCUGUAGAUAAGAGAUGGCUGCCUAGUGUUCUCUGCAGUCUGACCAACCCCACCAAACCCAAUGACGGCAUCAAUUAGCUCUUUGUUUAUAGCAGAUCAUCUUAGAUAUUCAGCAGCUUGAAAAUUGUUUUCCCCCUCCACCACAGACACCUAACCCUCUGUGUUACACUGAAAUAAACAUUUGUUAUUCUCUAA
Salmo salar (Atlantic salmon) is the source of this 4922-nucleotide non-coding RNA. The record is from RefSeq and is a predicted model, not a curated record. NCBI's taxonomy places the organism in Eukaryota, Metazoa, Chordata, Actinopteri, Salmoniformes, Salmonidae.